GCCAGGGACCAGCAGCACUGCUCUGUGCUCUGGGGACGUGCCAUGCUGUCACCACGCUCAGGUGUGCAGAGCCAGCUGCCAUCCAUGCUGUCAUAUCAGAAAAAAUUCAGAAUUAAAGCCACAUCAAGCCCAAGGUGUGCUGGAAUGGGUGAGACAAAGUGACAAAUGCAGUGAUUUAUAAUGAAGCAGUGAUUUAUAGCCCUGCUCUUCUGAUUGUUUUCUGUCAGCUCAGAGAGAGUAAUUUGUGGUGUCCACAUUGAGCCCCCAGUUUAUGGCAUUAUUGCUCAGGGACUGUAAACAGGCAUCCUUCUGUGGCAGCAGCUGUUACCUGCAAACCAGCCUUCUUCUGCUAUGGAUUUUUGCCCUGGUGGGCUUAGAUAAAUAUCGUUCAAAUCAUGGAGUCUGAUUCGUGAGUCAGGACCAUGGCAGCCCUCCAAAACCUCCUGCCCAUGGAGUGUGUUUGUGUGAGAGGGAGAGAGAGUUUCACUGCAUGAAGAGUAAGAAACUGGAAGCCAAGUGAAUUAAAUACAAAGCAGAUAAUUAUGUGUAAUUCAUUUACUGACUAAUGAUUGCACCUUGGUAUGGAGGUUCAUGAAUUCAUUUGACUCUGCAAGGUUCUCAAGAACAAUCUCCCUGCUACAAGAUAAGAGCUGGCUGACUUGUUAACAGACCAGUGUUUACAUUAGUGUUAUUGUAAGAUUCUGCCUUUUUGGCUCAUUUCACAUUUUACCUCACGGCCAUUCACUUUUCCUGGGUCCAUCUGGUGUCUCUGACAGUUUCAAUAGCUCAGUGCUGGUCAAGGCUGGCUGUCACUGCAGACUGAAGGCAUCAUCUGCUCCUGGGAGCAAUCACACACAGCUCUUCUCUCCUGUCUGCUGCAGCCAAACCUUGCCAUGGAGACUGUGACUUUGGCAGGGGAUCAGCAGGUCACAGCCCCCUUUCCCCAGUGCUGGUGUCCCUGGCACUCUUCCUGGUGUCACCCACUGGCCACUGCAGCCUGA
RNAcentral lists this long non-coding RNA (1001 nucleotides) under Parus major (Great Tit). Its description in RNAcentral is "lncRNA (ENSPMJG00000003599.1)". Lineage: Eukaryota; Metazoa; Chordata; Aves; Passeriformes; Paridae. The record is from RNAcentral.